UGUGUUAUCGGAUGCAACAACAGACAAGGAGACAAGCCUGGGCUGUGUUUCAACAGAAUUCCUUUCGAUAAAGAAAACCUUGGCAGCAGUGUAAGAUGAGGGAUUCUCCACAAGUGCACCUCAGCCAUGUUUGGAGUCACUGCCUGUCUGUCUGGAGAAAGUCCGACUUUGCUGCAAUCUUGCCACGCCAAACCUACGAACCCCCCCUCCGUCCUGCCCGCUUGCCUGUCCCCCUGUCCUGUUACCUGUGUUGAAAAUAAAACCUGAGUUACCAUU
Molecule: long non-coding RNA, 276 nt
Organism: Micropterus dolomieu (smallmouth bass)
Lineage: Eukaryota; Metazoa; Chordata; Actinopteri; Centrarchiformes; Centrarchidae
Exons: 2
Source: RefSeq, a predicted model, not a curated record